RNAcentral lists this ribosomal RNA (406 nucleotides) under uncultured bacterium. Its description in RNAcentral is "partial 16S ribosomal RNA". It matches the Rfam family "Bacterial small subunit ribosomal RNA", at positions 30 to 526 of the family's 1533-position model. The record is from RNAcentral.
AUUGAACGCUGGCGGCAGGCCUAACACAUGCAAGUCGAACGAGUGGCGGACGGGUGAGUAAUGUCUGGGAAACUGCCCGAUGGAGGGGGAUAACUACUGGAAACGGUAGCUAAUACCGCAUACCAUCGGAUGUGCCCAGAUGGGAUUAGCUAGUAGGUGGGGUAACGGCUCACCUAGGCGACGAUCCCUAGCUGGUCUGAGAGGAUGAACAGCCACACUGGAACUGAGACACGGUCCAGACUCCUACGGUAGGCAGCAGUGGGGAAUAUUGCGCAAUGGGCGAAAGCCUGAUGCAGCCACGCCGCGUGUGUGAAGAAGGCCUUCGGGUUGUAAAGCAUUUUCAUCGGGGAGGCGUUACCCACAGAGGAAGCACCGGCUAACUCCGUGCCAGCAGCCGCGGUAAUAC